CAGCAGCCACGGUAAUACGAAGGGGGCUAGCGUUGUUCGGAAUUACUGGGCGUAAAGCGCACGUAGGCGGACAUUUAAGUCAGGGGUGAAAUCCCGGGGCUCAACCCCGGAACUGCCUUUGAUACUGGGUGUCUAGAGUAUGGAAGAGGUGAGUGGAAUUCCGAGUGUAGAGGUGAAAUUCGUAGAUAUUCGGAGGAACACCAGUGGCGAAGGCGGCUCACUGGUCCAUUACUGACGCUGAGGUGCGAAAGCGUGGGGAGCAAACAGGAUUAGAUACCCGGGUAGUCCCUGUCUCUUAUAA
Molecule: ribosomal RNA, 301 nt
Filed under: uncultured bacterium
Lineage: Bacteria
Description: partial 16S ribosomal RNA
Rfam family: Bacterial small subunit ribosomal RNA
Source: RNAcentral